RNAcentral lists this transfer RNA (64 nucleotides) under Celes akitanus. RNAcentral describes it as "tRNA-Thr". It matches the Rfam family "tRNA". Rfam says of the family: Transfer RNA (tRNA) molecules are approximately 80 nucleotides in length. Their secondary structure includes four short double-helical elements and three loops (D, anti-codon, and T loops). RNAcentral also lists the same sequence under 1 other name. The record is from RNAcentral. Lineage: Eukaryota; Metazoa; Arthropoda; Insecta; Orthoptera; Acrididae.
GUUUUAAUAGUUUAAAAAAAACACUGGUUUUGUAAACCAAAAUUAAGAGAGCACUUUUAAAACU